GACUUUAGCUGGGAAUUUUGCGGUGGCCAAGCUACGAAUUUUCUGGGAGAAUUUCAUGGAAAAUGUGGUAUCAUUGAAUGCUGGAAGUGAUGGCUUAAGAAGGGGAUGUUUCUUGUUCUUGGAGUUAGAAACAGAAGGUUUCUCAUAUUCGAGAAUUCCAGAGGUGGUGGUGUUAUCAAAAGCAGCUGGACCGGUGGCGUAAGGCCUAGUAGCCAUUAAGAAGGUGGCAUUAGGUGCAGUGGC
RNAcentral lists this unclassified non-coding RNA (243 nucleotides) under Hevea brasiliensis (rubber tree). The record is from RNAcentral. Lineage: Eukaryota; Viridiplantae; Streptophyta; Magnoliopsida; Malpighiales; Euphorbiaceae.